Molecule: long non-coding RNA, 238 nt
Filed under: Vigna radiata
Lineage: Eukaryota; Viridiplantae; Streptophyta; Magnoliopsida; Fabales; Fabaceae
Description: long non-coding RNA (VRAD_LNC004650)
Source: RNAcentral
CCAGACCCAAAUCGUGAAGCUUCUUCACGUAUCCUCUCCCUUUCUGCCAUGGCCACCUAGAAAAUCAAAACCAGAGAAAUCCUUAAAUGCGCGAACUCAAAUCCUACAAAUCAACUCAUUUCCUCACUGCCACCAUGUUCCUCGCAAUCACCAGACUUGUAAAACCAAUUUUCGCUAUUAAUGCACCUCCAGAAACCUGCAACCAGAAACACAAAAGCAAUAAAACACAGUAAACCCC